UGCAAGUCGAACGAAGUAGCAAUACUUAGUGGCAGACGGGUGAGUAACAUGUAGGUAUCUGCCCUUUGGCCUGGAAUAACACGAGGAAACUUGUGCUAAUACCGGAUAAGUCUUUACGGAGAAAGCUUUAUGCACCAUUGGAUGAGCCUGCACUAGAUUAGUUUGUUGGUGGGGUAAUGGCCUACCAAGACUGUGAUCUAUAGCUGAUUUGAGAGGAUGAUCAGCCACAUUGGGACUGAGACACGGCCCAAACUCCUACGGGAGGCAGCAGUGGGGAAUCUUGCACAAUGGAGGAAACUCUGAUGCAGCGAUGCCGCGUGAGUGAAGAAGGCCUUUGGGUUGUAAAGCUCUUUCGUCGGGGAAGAAAAUGACUGUACCCGAAUAAGAAGGUCCGGCUAACUUCGUGCCAGCAGCCGCGGUAAUACGAAGGGACCUAGCGUAGUUCGGAAUUACUGGGCUUAAAGAGUUCGUAGGUGGUUGAAAAAGUUAGUGGUGAAAUCCCAGAGCUUAACUCUGGAACUGCCAUUAAAACUUUUCAGCUAGAGUAUGAUAGAGGAAAGCAGAAUUUCUAGUGUAGAGGUGAAAUUCGUAGAUAUUAGAAAGAAUACCAAUUGCGAAGGCAGCUUUCUGGAUCAUUACUGACACUGAGGAACGAAAGCAUGGGUAGCGAAGAGGAUUAGAUACCCUCGUAGUCCAUGCCGUAAACGAUGUGUGUUAGACGUUGGAAAUUUAUUUUCAGUG
RNAcentral lists this ribosomal RNA (741 nucleotides) under uncultured marine bacterium. RNAcentral describes it as "bacterial SSU rRNA". It matches the Rfam family "Bacterial small subunit ribosomal RNA", at positions 56 to 845 of the family's 1533-position model. The record is from RNAcentral.